This 342-nucleotide unclassified non-coding RNA is filed under the name soil metagenome. Its description in RNAcentral is "partial contains 5.8S ribosomal RNA, internal transcribed spacer 2, and large subunit ribosomal RNA". The stretch from base 1 to 120 matches the Rfam family "5.8S ribosomal RNA", at positions 35 to 154 of the family's 154-position model. The record is from RNAcentral.
GAUGAAGAACGUAGUGAAAUGCGAUAAGUAGUGUGAAUUGCAGAAUUCAGUGAAUCAUCGAAUCUUUGAACGCACAUUGCGGCCAUAGGUAUUCCUUUGGCCAUGCCUGUUCGAGCGUCAUUUACACCCUCAAGCCUAGCUUGGUGUUGGGCGUCUGUCCCGCCGUUUUCGCGCGCGGACUCGCCUCAAAGUCAUUGGCGGCGGUCGUGCCGGCCCCCUCGCGCAGCACAUUUGCGCUUCUCGGAGGCCCGGCGGAUCCGCGCUCCAGCAAGACCUUUCACGACUUGACCUCGGAUCAGGUAGGGAUACCCGCUGAACUUAAGCAUAUCAAUAAGCGGAGGA